GGAGAGUGCAAGCGUUGUUCGGAAUUACUGGGGCUUAAAGCGCAUGUAGGCGGGGACGACAAGUGUCGGGGUGAAAGCCCCGGGGCUCAACUCGGGAUGUGCCCGGCAAACUGUCGUCCCUUGAGGCAGGUAGAGGUGAUCGGAACAACUGGUGGAGCGGUGAAAUGCGUAGAUAUCAGUUGGAACGCCGGCGGCGAAAGCGGGUCACUGGACCUGUCCUGACGCUGAGAUGCGAAAGCGUGGGUAGCGAACGGGAUUAGAUACCCCGGUAGUCCACGCCGUAAACGAUGCGCACUAGGUAUGGGAGGUUUUGACGCCGACCGUGCCGAAGCAAAAGUGGUAAGUGCGCCGCCUGGGGAGUACGGCCGCAAGGCUA
Molecule: ribosomal RNA, 376 nt
Filed under: uncultured organism
Description: partial 16S ribosomal RNA
Rfam family: Bacterial small subunit ribosomal RNA
Source: RNAcentral